CAGUCGCCGCGGUAAUACGAAGGGGGCUAGCGUUGUUCGGAAUUACUGGGCGUAAGGGGCGCGUAGGCGGCCAUUCAAGUUAGAUGUGAAAGCCCUGGGCUCAACCUAGGAAUUGCAUCUGAUACUGUUUGGCUUGAGUUCGGGAGAGGUGAGUGGAAUUCCCAGUGUAGAGGUGAAAUUCGUAGAUAUUGGGAAGAACACCAGUGGCGAAGGCGGCACACUGGACCGACACUGACGCUGAGGCGCGAAAGCGUGGGGAGCAAAUGGGAUUAGAGACCCCAGUAGUCCCUGUCUCUUAUAC
RNAcentral lists this ribosomal RNA (301 nucleotides) under uncultured bacterium. Its description in RNAcentral is "partial 16S ribosomal RNA". It matches the Rfam family "Bacterial small subunit ribosomal RNA", at positions 509 to 807 of the family's 1533-position model. The record is from RNAcentral.